CACGUAGGGUGCGAGCGUUGUCCGGAAUUAUUGGGCGUAAAGAGCUCGUAGGCGGUGUGUCGCGUCGGCCGUGAAAACCUGCAGCUUAACUGUGGGCUUGCGGUCGAUACGGGCAUCACUGGAGUUCGGCAGGGGAGACUGGAAUUCCUGGUGUAGCGGUGAAAUGCGCAGAUAUCAGGAGGAACACCAAUGGCGAAGGCAGCUCACUGGGACGAUACUGACGCUGAGACGCGAAAGCGUGGGGAGCAAACAGG
Molecule: ribosomal RNA, 254 nt
Filed under: uncultured bacterium
Lineage: Bacteria
Description: partial 16S ribosomal RNA
Rfam family: Bacterial small subunit ribosomal RNA
Source: RNAcentral